Long non-coding RNA from Armigeres subalbatus, 256 nucleotides. RefSeq lists it as uncharacterized. NCBI's taxonomy places the organism in Eukaryota, Metazoa, Arthropoda, Insecta, Diptera, Culicidae. The record is from RefSeq and is a predicted model, not a curated record. The transcript has 2 exons.
UUCUGAGCUCAUUCGGUCAGUUUGGCAAAAUGUCAUCAAACAGGCAUCGACCGUUUUGGAUGUAAAAAAGCUGCCUCGAAAAAGCAGGGAAGGUGGAAUGCAAAAUCCCAUGCAGAAAAACUUCUUGAAGGCAGAGUUGAAAACGAAUGCAUUGCUUGGUGCGUUGGCAAUCAUUCUUCAUUGUUUGGACUACAGCUGGAUGUUUGUAGAACGAGUUUGAAAUUGUUGAAGAUUUCCCUUGUGAAUAACUAUUAAU